GGAUGCUGGGCCCGGACCCCGCCUGCUCAGUCCCAGGAGACGAACCCCCCGCAGCAGCCGCUCACGCUCUGCUCUGUGCCCUUGCAGGUGUGCAGUACGGCCAGGUGGGGGCGGACGUCGUCCUGUCGUGUGCCAGCGCCCCCGGACGCUCGGGGGUGGAGUGGCGGCGGGACGGGGCGGCCGCGCUCCCAGAGGGCUGCGUCCUGCGGGAUGGCGACCUGCUGCUGCCACAGGCCGAGCUCGCUGCGGGAGGAGCCUACAGCUGCCACGACGGGACCGGGCAGCUCCUCCGCUCCGUCUCCCUCCGGCUGGGCUACCUGCCCGGGAUCCCCUCCGUCACCUGCCGAGCUUCUGACUACGAGAAUUUCUCCUGUUCCUGGACACCCAGUGUGGAGACGUUCCUCCCCACCAGAUACAUCACCACCUACCGGUAGGGCUGAGCCAUGUGUGCGGGGUAGGUGGGGGUGGUG
Molecule: non-coding RNA, 470 nt
Organism: Chrysemys picta bellii (western painted turtle)
Lineage: Eukaryota; Metazoa; Chordata; Testudines; Emydidae
Source: RefSeq, a predicted model, not a curated record